RNAcentral lists this ribosomal RNA (287 nucleotides) under uncultured Pseudomonas sp. RNAcentral's name for it is "partial 16S ribosomal RNA". It matches the Rfam family "Bacterial small subunit ribosomal RNA", at positions 1097 to 1382 of the family's 1533-position model. Lineage: Bacteria; Pseudomonadati; Pseudomonadota; Gammaproteobacteria; Pseudomonadales; Pseudomonadaceae. The record is from RNAcentral.
CGCAACCCUUCGUCCUUAGUUACCAGCACGUUAUGGUGGGCACUCUAAGGAGACUGCCGGUGACAACCGGAGGAAGGUGGGGAGUGACGUCAAGUCAUCAUGGCCCUUACGGCCUGGGCUACACACGUGCUACAAUGGUCGGUACAAAGGGUUGCCAAGCCGCGAGGUGGAGCUAAUCCCAUAAAACCGAUCGUAGUCCGGAUCGCAGUCUGCAACUCGACUGCGUGAAGUCGGAAUCGCUAGUAAUCGUGAAUCAGAAUGUCACGGUGAAUACGUUCCCGGGCCUU